Molecule: ribosomal RNA, 400 nt
Filed under: uncultured bacterium
Lineage: Bacteria
Description: bacterial SSU rRNA
Rfam family: Bacterial small subunit ribosomal RNA
Source: RNAcentral
GGGGAAUAUUGCACAAUGGACGAAAGUCUGAUGCAGCAACGCCGCGUGGAGGAUGACACAUUUCGGUGCGUAAACUCCUUUUAUAUAGGAAGAUAAUGACGGUACUAUAUGAAUAAGCACCGGCUAACUCCGUGCCAGCAGCCGCGGUAAUACGGAGGGUGCAAGCGUUACUCGGAAUCACUGGGCGUAAAGAGCGUGUAGGCGGGUGAAUAAGUCAGAAGUGAAAUCCAAUAGCUCAACUAUUGAACUGCUUUUGAAACUGUAUACCUAGAAUGUGGGAGAGGCAGAUGGAAUUUCUGGUGUAGGGGUAAAAUCCGUAGAGAUCAGAAGGAAUACCGAUUGCGAAGGCGAUCUGCUGGAACAUUAUUGACGCUGAGACGCGAAAGCGUGGGGAGCAAAC